GACGAAGGGGGCUAGCGUUGUUCGGAAUUACUGGGCGUAAAGCGAGUGUAGGUGGUUGUCCAAGUUGGAUGUGAAAGCCUUGAGCUCAACUCAAGAAAUGCAUUCAGGACUGGGCGGCUAGAGGACCGGAGAGGAUAGUGGAAUUCCCAGUGUAGUGGUGAAAUGCGUAGAUAUCGGGAGGAACACCAGUGGCGAAGGCGGCUUCCUGGCCUGUUCUUGACGCUGAGGAGCGAAAGCGUGGGGAGCGAACAGG
This 253-nucleotide ribosomal RNA is filed under the name uncultured bacterium. Its description in RNAcentral is "partial 16S ribosomal RNA". It matches the Rfam family "Bacterial small subunit ribosomal RNA", at positions 524 to 776 of the family's 1533-position model. The record is from RNAcentral.